RNAcentral lists this unclassified non-coding RNA (433 nucleotides) under soil metagenome. RNAcentral's name for it is "partial contains 5.8S ribosomal RNA, internal transcribed spacer 2, and large subunit ribosomal RNA". The stretch from base 1 to 120 matches the Rfam family "5.8S ribosomal RNA", at positions 35 to 154 of the family's 154-position model. The record is from RNAcentral.
GAUGAAGAACGCAGCGAAAUGCGAUACGUAAUGUGAAUUGCAGAAUUCAGUGAAUCAUCGAAUCUUUGAACGCAUAUUGCGCUCUCUGGUAUUCCGGAGAGCAUGCUUGUUUGAGUAUCAGUAAACACCUCAACUUCCAUAUCUUUUUUUGAAAUGGGAGUUGGACUUGAGUGAUCCCAACGCUUUUCCUCACCGAAAAGUGGCGGGUUACUUGAAAUGCAGGUGCAGCUGGACUUUUCUCUGACCUAUAAGCAUAUCUAUUUAGUCUGCCUAAAAAACAGAUUAUUACCUUUGCUGCAGCUAACAUAAAGGAGAUUAGUUCUUGUGCUGACUGAUGCAGGAUUCACAAAGACAGCUUCGGCCGACUUUGUAAACUCGAUCUCAAAUCAAGUAAGACUACCCGCUGAACUUAAGCAUAUCAAUAAGCGGAGGA